RNAcentral lists this ribosomal RNA (483 nucleotides) under uncultured bacterium. RNAcentral describes it as "bacterial SSU rRNA". It matches the Rfam family "Bacterial small subunit ribosomal RNA", at positions 1020 to 1504 of the family's 1533-position model. The record is from RNAcentral.
AAGAGAACCUGAACACAGGUGCUGCAUGGCUGUCGUCAGCUCGUGUCGUGAGAUGUUGGGUUAAGUCCCGCAACGAGCGCAACCCUUGUCAUUAAUUGCCAUCAUUUAGUUGGGCACUUUAAUGAGACUGCCGGUGACAAACCGGAGGAAGGUGGGGAUGACGUCAAGUCCUCAUGGCCCUUAUGGGUAGGGCUUCACACGUCAUACAAUGGUCGGUACAGAGGGUUGCCAACCCGCGAGGGGGAGCCAAUCCCACAAAGCCGAUCGUAGUCCGGAUCGCAGUCUGCAACUCGACUGCGUGAAGUCGGAAUCGCUAGUAAUCGUGGAUCAGCAUGUCACGGUGAAUACGUUCCCGGGUCUUGUACACACCGCCCGUCACACCAUGGGAGUGGGUUUCACCAGAAGUAGGUAGUCUAACCGCAAGGGGGGCGCUUACCACGGUGGGAUUCAUGACUGGGGUGAAGUCGUAACAAGGUAGCCGUA